CUGCGAUAAGUAAUGUGAAUUGCAGAAUUCAGUGAAUCAUCGAGUCUUUGAACGCACAUUGCGCCCCCUGGCAUUCCGGGGGGCAUGCCUGUCCGAGCGUCAUUGCUGCCCUUCAAGCCCGGCUUGUGUGUUGGGUCGUCGUCCCCCCCGGGGGACGGGCCCGAAAGGCAGCGGCGGCACCGCGUCCGGUCCUCGAGCGUAUGGGGCUUUGUCACCCGCUCGAUUAGGGCCGGCCGGGCGCCAGCCGGCGUCUCCAACCUUCUAUUUUACCAGGUUGACCUCGGAUCAGGUAGGGAUACCCGCUGAACUUAA
This 312-nucleotide unclassified non-coding RNA is filed under the name uncultured Aspergillus. RNAcentral describes it as "partial contains 5.8S ribosomal RNA, internal transcribed spacer 2, and large subunit ribosomal RNA". The stretch from base 1 to 102 matches the Rfam family "5.8S ribosomal RNA", at positions 53 to 154 of the family's 154-position model. The record is from RNAcentral. Lineage: Eukaryota; Fungi; Ascomycota; Eurotiomycetes; Eurotiales; Aspergillaceae.